UGGGGAAUUUUGGACAAUGGGCGCAAGCCUGAUCCAGCCAUGCCGCGUGCGGGAAGAAGGCCUUCGGGUUGUAAACCGCUUUUGUCAGGGAAGAAAUCUUCUGGGCUAAUACCCCGGGAGGAUGACGGUACCUGAAGAAUAAGCACCGGCUAACUACGUGCCAGCAGCCGCGGUAAUACGUAGGGUGCGAGCGUUAAUCGGAAUUACUGGGCGUAAAGCGUGCGCAGGCGGUUUUGUAAGACAGAGGUGAAAUCCCCGGGCUCAACCUGGGAACUGCCUUUGUGACUGCAAGGCUUGAGUGCGGCAGAGGGGGAUGGAAUUCCGCGUGUAGCAGUGAAAUGCGUAGAUAUGCGGAGGAACACCGAUGGCGAAGGCAAUCCCCUGGGCCUGCACUGACGCUCAUGCACGAAAGCGUGGGGAGCAAACAG
RNAcentral lists this ribosomal RNA (428 nucleotides) under uncultured bacterium. Its description in RNAcentral is "bacterial SSU rRNA". It matches the Rfam family "Bacterial small subunit ribosomal RNA", at positions 355 to 775 of the family's 1533-position model. The record is from RNAcentral.